This 30-nucleotide non-coding RNA is filed under the name Rattus norvegicus (Norway rat). Lineage: Eukaryota; Metazoa; Chordata; Mammalia; Rodentia; Muridae. The record is from RNAcentral.
UAGGAACACAAUAUUCCUACACUGGACCUA